CAUUCUGACAUCCUCCGAUACUUACUCCAUUAAAAAAAUAUAUAUUUUUGAAAGUUCCAGGUCAGAGGUUGACAUACAUUUUCAACCUUCAGUUCAGGAACUUUAGUGUAUUAAUGCUGUUUGCAGGCCUACUCUCACCCAAGGAGUUUUCACCACGCUCCUCAUUGCUCAGUUCAUUCUUGCCUCUCUUCUUUCUGACUCAUAUCAUCAGUCCAGUCCAAUCUUGAGUUCACCUUGCCCUCUCACCUAUUACCUCAUUCAGAGUGAGAUCAGAACACACAGAGCUGACUCUUCAUGCAAUUGCUGUAGCUUUGCUGGAUCCCAAACAAAACAGAGUCCGGAGAAGCCUGUUUAUAUUUCAGACUGGCUUUUAUUUGCAUUUUCUACAAAAACACUGAACAAGCACACUAUGGGUGAGACAAUACACGAUUGAAGGUUCUUUUGCCAUGGCAAGUAAUAACAAGCCAUUUCCCAUGUGAAUACAUCUGUACACAAUAUCUGCAAUUGUGAUAAUGGAGGUUACAUAAAGGGUUUAAAUUCUUCAUCUGCAAUUGUGACAUCCCAUCACACUGAGCUGCUGGUCAGAGGUGUGUUUUGAUGAACUAUGACAUCCAAUUUCUCCCUCCUGAGGGGAGUCCAACAUAUAACACCUCAGUACGGGGUGAAAAGAAGUUUAGUUCAGAGUUGAAGCUUUGGCUAGAGAUAAGUGUAUUCUUAAGAAAGCUAACAAAUGGGGUCCGAUUAUGUACGUUGCUGACUUCAAUAGACGCAAUAAUGCCCAUCACCUCACAGGCUGAAUCCCACAUUUCUUUGGAAAGAAUUUAUAAUCUGCAUAUGUGGAGAGAUAAUCACCAUAUUGUGUUUCCAUUACAAACAAAUCUUAAAUUUUAACAAACAAAUCGUUUAUACCCUGAGGAGACAUUAUGAAACCCUUGAGAGAUGAUAUCAUGAUCCACACUUCGCAUAACCACAACUCUAUUAGUUUAUGUACACUACUAUGUUUCCAGGAUAACAAGUUACAGCAACCCAGCAGACAACAGCACACGUCUUGCUUGGCAAUACUAUUUCCUAUUAACUAGAUUGCACCCCAGGCUGGAUCAACGCUCUUUCAUAAGCGAUGGGCACUUAAACAUGAGAUGGGUCCAGCCUCACCUGUGGCAUGCUUAGCUCACCUCCAUGGCAAGUGGACCAGACAUACAGAAAUAACAUAAGCACAAAUCUAUCAGGGAUAACUCUAAUCAUUUGAUCAACUCAGCAAUCAGAAAGCCUAGAGCAUAAGAAGCUUCACAUCAUUAAAAUAUGGCUGAAGUCAAAGAUUGACAUUUUCAUACUUGGGUGCCUGAAGUUAGGCACCCAAAUAAGAGUACCCUGAUUUUUCAGAAGUUAUACCCUUAUAGCCCACAUUCACUUCAGUGGAAUCUGUGGGUGCUCCGAAACUUUGAAAAAUCAGACCACAUUUAGUUAAGUGCCUAACUACAGAUUUAAGUGCAUAUCUUUAGGCACUCACAUUUAAAAAUUGAAGCCUACAUUUUUAAUUACUAACAGCUAGAAUUUCUGAACCUUCGACUAAAAACACUUCCCUUAUUAUAAAGUGACAUAGGGAAAAUGGAGAUAUUCUUUAAAACAAAUUCUGUAUCCCAUUUUAACAUUAUCUUAAUCAAUGAAACGAUUAAUAUAUUGUAUAUUUGUGCAGUGUCUAGCACAAUGGGACCCAUACAUAUUAUUACAAUAAAAAUAUUAUUUAAGGCUUGUUUUCUACUUCACCGGUGACCCCAUGGCCAGUGCCACAAACAAUGUUAUAUAUUGCGUAAGCAAGAUGCCCACGGCCAGCUUGAGGCUCAGAAAUUUCAAUUGUAAUUCAGAAUGUGACUUUCAAAUCCAUUUCAGUUUCUUAGUCUUGGUGGGGAGUGCUUCUGAUGUUUAUUUAAAUUAAACAUUGAGAGAACAAGCAACAUUUUAUUUUAAAUUAUGUUAGAUCUCAUGUAUGAUUCUUUUUAAAUAUGCAAUACUGGCAGGCUAUGAAUACACUGUAUAAGCGAGUAAGAAAAUGGCUUCUAGCAUUAAAAGUUAAGUCUCGAAUUUAAAUAAGAUUUUUCUGAAAACAUCUUACUCUCAAAAGAAAAGAACAAUGAACAACAACAAAAAACAGGAAUAGUAUUUCCCAUACCGGAUUGUAUUAUUGGUACAUCAAGUUCUGUAUCUUGUGUCUGGCAUGGGCAUCAUUCCUGAUAUUCCUGAUGCCAUUGUCUGAAGAGCAGCUGGCCACUUGUGCAAUAUUGAAUGUGUUGGGGCGGGAAGACCUUAACAGAGCUGACCUUUUACCCUGGAGCAAGAGAUUUGAUUUCCCUUAUGUAA
Molecule: long non-coding RNA, 2355 nt
Organism: Dermochelys coriacea (leatherback sea turtle)
Lineage: Eukaryota; Metazoa; Chordata; Testudines; Dermochelyidae
Exons: 3
Source: RefSeq, a predicted model, not a curated record